AUUGAACGCUGGCGGCAUGCUUUACACAUGCAAGUCGAACGGUAACAGGCCUUCGGGUGCUGACGAGUGGCGAACGGGUGAGUAAUGUAUCGGAACGUGCCCAGAGGUGGGGGAUAACGCAGCGAAAGCUGUGCUAAUACCGCAUGUGAUCUGAGGAUGAAAGCGGGGGACCAAGCAGCAAUGUUUGGCCUCGCGCCUCUGGAGCGGCCGAUGUCAGAUUAGGUAGUUGGUGGGGUAAAGGCCUACCAAGCCGACGAUCUGUAGCUGGUCUGAGAGGACGACCAGCCACACUGGGACUGAGACACGGCCCAGACUCCUACGGGAGGCAGCAGUGGGGAAUUUUGGACAAUGGGCGCAAGCCUGAUCCAGCAAUGCCGCGUGCGGGAAGAAGGCCUUCGGGUUGUAAACCGCUUUUGUACGGAACGAAAAGGCUCUGGCUAAUACCUGGGGCUGAUGACGGUACCGUAAGAAUAAGCACCGGCUAACUACGUG
RNAcentral lists this ribosomal RNA (492 nucleotides) under uncultured bacterium. RNAcentral describes it as "partial 16S ribosomal RNA". It matches the Rfam family "Bacterial small subunit ribosomal RNA", at positions 30 to 507 of the family's 1533-position model. The record is from RNAcentral.